RNAcentral lists this ribosomal RNA (355 nucleotides) under Enterobacter cloacae complex sp. 4DZ3-17B2. RNAcentral's name for it is "bacterial SSU rRNA". It matches the Rfam family "Archaeal small subunit ribosomal RNA", at positions 322 to 677 of the family's 1478-position model. Lineage: Bacteria; Pseudomonadati; Pseudomonadota; Gammaproteobacteria; Enterobacterales; Enterobacteriaceae. The record is from RNAcentral.
CCUACGGGUGGCUGCAGGCGCGAAACCUUUACAAUGCACGAAAGUGUGAUAGGGGGAUACUCAGUGCUUACGAUUAUGUCGUAGGCUUUUGUCGAUCGUAAAUAGAUCGGCGAAUAAGUGGUGGGUAAGACCGGUGCCAGCCGCCGCGGUAACCCCGGCGCCACAAGUGGUCAUCGCGAUUAUUGGGCCUAAAGCAUCCGUAGCCGGUUCCGUAGGUCCUCUGUUAAAUCCAGCCGCUCAACGGGUGACCUGCAGAGGAUAGCGCGGGACAAGGAGGCGGGAGAGGCGGACGGUACUCCGCGUGUAGGGGUAAAAUCCUUUGAUCCGCGGAAGACCACCAGUGGCGAAGGCGGUC